CUCGCUGGGGACAGGGGGCAGCUGCCAGAAAUUCUCUGUCAGCAAAACAUGGCAAGAUCCUUCCUCGAGGUCAGAGGCAGCUGGCUGUAGAGAGAGCCAAGCCUUACCAUCUGCCUUCAUCCGGACCAAGAGGAGCUGCAAGACCAAAGCCAUUCUCAACAGUAACAGGACAAGCUAAUGCAGGAGAUGUGCCUCCCAGAGCACCUUUCAGCAGUCGUGUACUGGCCAAAGUUAGAGAGUUAUGGGUUUCCAUCGCAGGAAUGCUGUUCUCACCAAAGCAGUCAAGAGAACGAGUGCCUUUGAGAUUCUUGGAGAGAAAUGUUCUGCGGUUCCUUGUGAAUUACAGCUGUUCCUCAAAUAAAAAGCGUUUUCCAAUGCACUGUGCUGUGUGGGUGACCCAUACGUGAGGUAGAGGGAAAAAUGCAAGUGGCGGUUCCUGAUGUGCCUGUUGGUUCAGG
Molecule: non-coding RNA, 458 nt
Organism: Phalacrocorax carbo (great cormorant)
Lineage: Eukaryota; Metazoa; Chordata; Aves; Suliformes; Phalacrocoracidae
Source: RefSeq, a predicted model, not a curated record